Molecule: ribosomal RNA, 422 nt
Filed under: uncultured archaeon
Lineage: Archaea
Description: partial 16S ribosomal RNA
Rfam family: Archaeal small subunit ribosomal RNA
Source: RNAcentral
CUACGGGGUGCUCCAGUUAGGAAUAAUCUACAAUGCACGCAAGUGUGAUAGUUUGAGCCAGAGUGUCUUUCAAUCGAAAGACUUUUGCCAGAUGUAAAAAGUCUGGCGAAUAAGGACUGGGUAAGACGAGUGCCAGCCGCCGCGGUAAUACUCGCGGUCCAAGUCGCAGCCAUUUUUAUUGGGUCUAAAACAUCCGUAGCUUGCUUUGUAAGUUUCUUGUGAAAUCCGGCUUCUUAAGAGUCGGGCGGGCAAGAAGUACUGCAGAGCUAGAGACUGGGAGGCGUAAGAAGUAAAAUCAAAGUAGCAGUUAAAUGCUUUAAUCUUGGUUGGACUAUCAAUUAGCGAAGGCAUCUUACGAGAACAGUUCUGACAGUAAGGGAUGAAGGCUAGGGGCGCAAAACGGAUUAGAUACCCUAGUAGUC